GAUGAACGCUGGCGGCGUGCCUAAUACAUGCAAGUCGAGCGAACAGACGAGUAGCUUGCUCCUCUGACGUUAGCGGCGGACGGGGGAGUAACACGUGGAUAACCUACCUAUAAGACUGGGAUAACUUCGGGAAACCGGAGCUAAUACCGGAUAAUAUAUUGAACCGCAUGGUUCAAUAGUGAAAGACGGUUUUGCUGUCACUUAUAGAUGGAUCCGCGCCGCAUUAGCUAGUUGGUAAGGUAACGGCUUACCAAGGCAGCGAUGCGUAGCCGACCUGAGAGGGUGAUCGGCCACACUGGAACUGAGACACGGUCCAGACUCCUACGAGAGGCAGCAGUAGGGAAUCUUCCGCAAUGGGCGGAAGCCUGACGGAGCAACGCCGCGUGAGUGAUGAAGGUCUUCGGAUCGUAAAACUCUGUUAUUAGGGAAGAACCAAUGUGUAAGUAACUAUGCACGUCUUGACGGUACCUAAUCAGAAAGCCACGGCUAACUACGUG
This 497-nucleotide ribosomal RNA is filed under the name uncultured bacterium. Its description in RNAcentral is "partial 16S ribosomal RNA". It matches the Rfam family "Bacterial small subunit ribosomal RNA", at positions 28 to 507 of the family's 1533-position model. The record is from RNAcentral.